RNAcentral lists this ribosomal RNA (397 nucleotides) under uncultured bacterium. RNAcentral describes it as "partial 16S ribosomal RNA". It matches the Rfam family "Bacterial small subunit ribosomal RNA", at positions 523 to 918 of the family's 1533-position model. The record is from RNAcentral.
AUACGUAGGGGGCGAGCGUUGUCCGGAAUGAUUGGGCGUAAAGGGCGCGUAGGCGGCGCGGUAAGUCUGGAGUGAAAGUCCUGCUUUCAAGGUGGGACUUGCUUUGGAUACUGCCGCGCUUGAGUGCAGGAGAGGUUAUCGGAAUUCCCGGUGUAGCGGUGAAAUGCGUAGAGAUCGGGAGGAACACCAGUGGCGAAGGCGGGUAACUGGACUGCAACUGACGCUGAGGCGCGAAAGUGUGGGGAGCAAACAGGAUUAGAUACCCUGGUAGUCCACGCCGUAAACGAUGAAUAUUAGGUGUAGGGGGUAUCGACUCCCUCUGUGCCGCAGUUAACACAAUAAGUAUUCCGCCUGGGGAGUACGGCCGCAAGGUUGAAACUCAAAUGAAUUGGCGGGG